This is a small nucleolar RNA of Thalassophryne amazonica, 132 nucleotides long. RefSeq annotates it as small nucleolar RNA SNORA31. Lineage: Eukaryota; Metazoa; Chordata; Actinopteri; Batrachoidiformes; Batrachoididae. The transcript has a single exon. The record is from RefSeq and is a predicted model, not a curated record.
UUGCAUCCACUGAUAGACCUGAAGCAGGCUUCCUCUGCUUUUGGUUUGCAUAGAGAUGCAAAAUCAAGUGUUCCUUGCACUUUCUGUCUGCCUCAUUACAUGGCAGCACAGAUUGAAUUAAGGAAUACAUUU